AAGGUAGCGAAAUUCCUUGUCGGGUAAGUUCCGACCUGCACGAAUGGCGUAACGACUUGGACGCUGUCUCAACGAGGGACUCGGUGAAAUUGGAGUCUCGGUGAAGAUACCGAGUACCCGCAUCAAGACGGAAAGACCCCGUGAACCUUUACUGCAACUUGAUAUUGGAGUUUGGUGUGUUCUGUUCAGGAUAGGUGGGAGACUGUGAACCAGCGGCUGCGGCUGCUGGGGAGUCAACCUUGAGAUACCACCCUUGACAUACCGGGCUUCUAACACUGCGCCGUAAUCCGGGCAGUGAACAGUGUCAGGCGGGCAGUUUGACUGGGGCGGUCGCCUCCUAAAAUGUAACGGAGGCGCCCAAAGGUUCCCUCAGUACGGUUGGAAACCGUGCGUAGAGUGUAAAGGCAAUAAGGAGCUUGACUGCGAGACCGACGGGUCGAGCAGGUACGAAAGUA
This 455-nucleotide ribosomal RNA is filed under the name uncultured bacterium. RNAcentral's name for it is "bacterial LSU rRNA". It matches the Rfam family "Bacterial large subunit ribosomal RNA", at positions 1953 to 2407 of the family's 2925-position model. The record is from RNAcentral.